GAACGGGUGAGUAACACGUGGGUGAUCUGCCCUGCACUUUGGGAUAAGCCUGGGAAACUGGGUCUAAUACCGAAUAUGACCAUGCGCCUCCUGGUGUGUGGUGGAAAGCUUUUGCGGUGUGGGAUGGGCCCGCGGCCUAUCAGCUUGUUGGUGGGGUAAUGGCCUACCAAGGCGACGACGGGUAGCCGGCCUGAGAGGGUGACCGGCCACACUGGGACUGAGAUACGGCCCAGACUCCUACGGGAGGCAGCAGUGGGGAAUAUUGCACAAUGGGCGCAAGCCUGAUGCAGCGACGCCGCGUGAGGGAUGACGGCCUUCGGGUUGUAAACCUCUUUCAGCACAGACGAAGCGCAAGUGACGGUAUGUGCAGAAGAAGGACCGGCCAACUACGUGCCAGCAGCCGCGGUAAUACGUAGGGUCCGAGCGUUGUCCGGAAUUACUGGGCGUAAAGAGCUCGUAGGUGGUUUGUCGCGUUGUUCGUGAAAACUCACAGCUUAACUGUGGGCGUGCGGGCGAUACGGGCAGACUUGAGUACUGCAGGGGAGACUGGAAUUCCUGGUGUAGCGGUGGAAUGCGCAGAUAUCAGGAGGAACACCGGUGGCGAAGGCGGGUCUCUGGGCAGUAACUGACGCUGAGGAGCGAAAGCGUGGGGAGCGAACAGGAUUAGAUACCCUGGUAGUCCACGCCGUAAACGGUGGGUACUAGGUGUGGGUUUCCUUCCUUGGGAUCCGUGCCGUAGCUAACGCAUUAAGUACCCCGCCUGGGGAGUACGGCCGCAAGGCUAAAACUCAAAGAAAUUGACGGGGGCCCGCACAAGCGGCGGAGCAUGUGGAUUAAUUCG
This 841-nucleotide ribosomal RNA is filed under the name uncultured bacterium. Its description in RNAcentral is "bacterial SSU rRNA". It matches the Rfam family "Bacterial small subunit ribosomal RNA", at positions 100 to 953 of the family's 1533-position model. The record is from RNAcentral.